Zingiber officinale is the source of this 1094-nucleotide long non-coding RNA. RefSeq lists it as uncharacterized. NCBI's taxonomy places the organism in Eukaryota, Viridiplantae, Streptophyta, Magnoliopsida, Zingiberales, Zingiberaceae. The transcript is spliced from 3 exons. The record is from RefSeq and is a predicted model, not a curated record.
ACCCACCCCACUUCACUCCCAAGAGACAGAUCACCCUCUUUGCCUUUCCCUCACAUGAGACAUAGGAACUGGGAAGUCUCCAAGUAGAAAAUUCCCAUUGGCAUUUAGAUGCAAAUCUCCCACGUCCCAUGCUCAUGUUCCCCUCCUCUUGAAGCCAAAGCAUCGUCACAGCUGAAGACAUCUCCUGUGCACCUCUUCCUAAUCUGAGUCCGUCUCAUCUAGUACCAGACACAAAAGGCAGGCAUAUGGCUUGGAGCACGACAUGACCAAUAUUCAUGCUCACUUUAGAAGCCACUUCGAUGAUGUUAGAAAGAGAGAAGAAAAUAAUCUGAAGGAAUAUGUACUAUACUUCCAUAAAACAAAUGUUAUUACCAGCAAUCUUAGGGAAGAGAAAUCAUGUUUGUGGCUGAAUUUUCACACUUACAAAACACUUAAGAAGCAGAAUUUCAAGCUUACAUAUAGAAUCAAUAUGUAAAUGAUAUAUCACAAAUGCAUCAACACAUGCAAAUUCACUUUGCAUCCAUUCAAAUGAAAUUGGUGAUGACUAAGUGUUUUACCACAAGUUUAACAUAAAGGACAGCCCGGUGCACGAAGCUCCCGCCAUGCGGGGUCCAGGAAAGGAUGUAUUGCACGCAAUAAAGGAAAUUUCACCUAAGCACAUGCGUCACAACUCUUUAAAAUUAAAAUGGUGAGCUUAUAUAUUUGUUAGAGAUGGUUCAUGCUGCUGUUCGGGUGAAGAAGGGGUCGGAGUGGGUGUUGCGAGGUGGAGUUUAGUGUCCGAGGAAGAAUGAAUGGGAGAGCACGAGGUAAUGAGGAGACGGAAGGACUUGACGAAUGAGCUUUCUUGUACUGGCAGUGCACACUCGAGGGCCUCUUUUAUUUGUCUAAGUUUCUACACGCAUUAGGAUGUUGGGUCCUCCCGUCGGAGUCGAGUCAUGUGAUUGAUAGUCGGUUUAAGUUCCUUUCACUAGUUGGUUGCACUUUCUGCUCUCAUGAAGAAUUUAUUUACUAUUAUGAUGUCAAACCAAAUUUUUUUUUUUUGGUUUCAUGUUGGACUAGUUCGUAAUGCAUAAUCUUUGAAGUUGGUUGUUUAA